RNAcentral lists this ribosomal RNA (133 nucleotides) under Deielia phaon. Its description in RNAcentral is "partial 12S ribosomal RNA". The record is from RNAcentral. Lineage: Eukaryota; Metazoa; Arthropoda; Insecta; Odonata; Libellulidae.
UACGUAAGGAAUUUAUAAAUAUUAUCGGUAUAAUAGUUAAAUUUUAUUUUCUUUAAUUUUAAAAUUUUUAGGUGAAAUUUUAAUUUUUUAAUAAAAGAUAUUUUUGAAGCUAUGAAAUUUAAUUUAUAAACAA